CCUACGGGUGGCUGCAGUGGGGAAUAUUGGACAAUGGGGGCAACCCUGAUCCAGCCAUGCCGCGUGUGUGAAGAAGGCCCUCGGGUUGUAAGGCACUUUCAGUGAGGAAGAACGCCUGGUGGUUAAUACCCAUCAGGAAAGACAUCACUCACAGAAGAAGCACCGGCUAACUCCGUGCCAGCAGCCGCGGUAAUACGGAGGGUGCGAGCGUUAAUCGGAAUUACUGGGCGUAAAGCGCGCGUAGGUGGCUUGAUAAGCCGGUUGUGAAAGCCCCGGGCUCAACCUGGGAACGGCAUCCGGAACUGUCAAGCUAGAGUGCAGGAGAGGAUGGUAGAAUUCCCGGUGUAGCGGUGAAAUGCGUAGAGAUCGGGAGGAAUACCAGUGGCGAAGGCGGCCUUCUGGACUGACACUGACACUGAGGUGCGAAAGCGUGGGUAGCAAACAGGAUUAGAUACCCUGGUAGUC
Molecule: ribosomal RNA, 465 nt
Filed under: Vreelandella stevensii
Lineage: Bacteria; Pseudomonadati; Pseudomonadota; Gammaproteobacteria; Oceanospirillales; Halomonadaceae
Description: partial 16S ribosomal RNA
Rfam family: Bacterial small subunit ribosomal RNA
Source: RNAcentral